GCAAAUUGCCAUUUUCCCCCUUUCUCGAACCAGAGCCAGUUAGCCGCCGCCGCUGAAAGAUCGAUCGCGAGAAUCCUACUUCACGGUCAUUAACAUCUCACUCACUCGCCUCCGGCGGCGAUUUCGUCGUAAGAUUGCUGUGUUCAAUCCCUUCUCAUCCUCGCUGAGCCGCAGCUGUGCCGUUGUUCCCGUCUUUUCCUCGCCGGUCGCGUUGAUGUUGAUCCAGGGGCCGAUCUACGCGCAGACACGGUAAGUUUGGGGAGAAAAGACGGAUGGUCGGAAACUGUAACGGCGGGUGGGUGAUCGGAAGGUGGUGUGAUUCUAGAUCCGUAGGUCGGCAUUAAAGGGUUUAUCUAUUUCAGUGAGUACAACUGGUGUUAGCUUUGAUGGAUCGGAAGAAAGAAAAGGGUGUCUCGCAUGCUAACCGUCGAAUGCAUCGAGGUAAAACACUUCAUGAGGAAGCAACUGGCAUAAAGCAUGAAGAUGCGAGUUGCAUUUUGAAGACACAACAUCUCCGGCGCCCGGCGGCAUGGGUUAGUCGAGAGGCCAGAUUAAGUCCUCUUGCCGCCUUUUUGGGACAGAAGUUUGCCUCUGAAGUUGAGGCUUUACGAACCCCUUUGAAACCCUUAGUUUUUCUUUGCAAGAGGCAGAUCUCCUCUUCUCCUCCUUUUUAAUUCUAAAAGGAUGUUUUGUUGUUGCUAAAUAGCAUUUGAGUUCCUGAUGACUGUGAUGUAAAAGCGAAUUGUGCCACUGGGGAAAGCAAGAGAAACUUAACCGAUUACUUGGUUCAA
This is a long non-coding RNA of Zingiber officinale, 791 nucleotides long. RefSeq lists it as uncharacterized. The record is from RefSeq and is a predicted model, not a curated record. NCBI's taxonomy places the organism in Eukaryota, Viridiplantae, Streptophyta, Magnoliopsida, Zingiberales, Zingiberaceae. The transcript is spliced from 3 exons.